RNAcentral lists this ribosomal RNA (389 nucleotides) under uncultured bacterium. RNAcentral's name for it is "bacterial SSU rRNA". It matches the Rfam family "Bacterial small subunit ribosomal RNA", at positions 30 to 420 of the family's 1533-position model. The record is from RNAcentral.
AUUGAACGCUGGCGGAAUGCUUUACACAUGCAAGUCGGGCGGCAGCAUGGACUUCGGUCUGAUGGCGAGCGGCGAACGGGUGAGUAAUGCAUCGGAACGUACCCAGUCGUGGGGGAUAACGUAGCGAAAGUUACGCUAAUACCGCAUACGUCCUACGGGAGAAAGCAGGGGAUCGCAAGACCUUGCGCGAUUGGAGCGGCCGAUGUCUGAUUAGCUAGUUGGUGGGUAAAGGCCCACCAAGGCGACGAUCAGUAGCGGGUCUGAGAGGAUGAUCCGCCACACUGGGACUGAGACACGGCCCAGACUCCUACGGGAGGCAGCAGUGGGGAAUUUUGGACAAUGGGCGCAAGCCUGAUCCAGCCAUUCCGCGUGAGUGAAGAAGGCCUCGG